Molecule: ribosomal RNA, 432 nt
Filed under: uncultured bacterium
Lineage: Bacteria
Description: partial 16S ribosomal RNA
Rfam family: Bacterial small subunit ribosomal RNA
Source: RNAcentral
AACGAACGCUGGCGGCAGGCCUAACACAUGCAAGUCGAGCGAGACCUCCCGGUCUUGCGGCGGACGGGUGAGUAACGCGGGGGAACGUGCACUUUUCUGCGGUACAGCCUCGGGAAACUGAGCGUAAUACCGCAGACGCCCUUUGGGGGUAAGAUUUAUCGGAAAAGGAUCGGCCCGCGUUGGAUUAGGUUGUUGGUGGGGGAAUGGCCUACCAAGCCUACGAUCCAGAGCUGGUUGGAGAGGAUGAUCAGCCGCACUGGGACUGAGACACGGCCCAGACGGCUACGGGAGGCAGCAGUGGGGAAUCUUAGACAGUGGGGGCAACCCUGAUCUAGCCAUGCCGCGUGAGUGAUGAAGGCCUUAGGGUUGUAAAGCUCUUUCAGCUAGGAAGAUAAUGACGGUACCAGCAGAGGAAGCCCCGGCUAACUCCGU